RNAcentral lists this ribosomal RNA (175 nucleotides) under Anaerotignum lactatifermentans. RNAcentral describes it as "partial 23S ribosomal RNA". It matches the Rfam family "Bacterial large subunit ribosomal RNA", at positions 2749 to 2925 of the family's 2925-position model. The record is from RNAcentral. Lineage: Bacteria; Bacillati; Bacillota; Clostridia; Lachnospirales; Anaerotignaceae.
CUAUGUAUGGAACGGAUAAACGCUGAAGGCAUCUAAGCGUGAAGCCGCCCUCAAGAUAAGAUUUCCCAUUCUUCGGAAGUAAGAUCCCUUAAAGAUAAUGAGGUAGAUAGGUUGGAGGUGUAAGCACAGUAAUGUGUUCAGCUGACCAAUACUAAUAGAUCGAGGGCUUGACCUA